Molecule: long non-coding RNA, 16467 nt
Organism: Columba livia (rock pigeon)
Lineage: Eukaryota; Metazoa; Chordata; Aves; Columbiformes; Columbidae
Exons: 2
Source: RefSeq, a predicted model, not a curated record
ACUAAAAUUACAUUUGGCCCUUUGAAGGCAACUGCGAGGCUGAUCUGGCCCCUGGUGAAAAUGAGUUUGAGACCCCUGUUUAGAGUAUCUAACCUGCCUGGUUGCAUUAAUUGUGAGUUGGGUAAACAUUUCAGGAAAAAUGAUGCCCUAAUUUCAAAGCACACUGCUUAGUUCCUUUGGUGGGAGCAGAAAGUUAAGGGCGGAUGUUGCGGCUUUCAGGCUCGGAUUUAGAAACAAAAUUGUAUCCAGAUUGUGUGGUAAUGAAGAUUGUUAGGCUAGAAUAGAAUGUGGAAGGAAGAUUUGAAUUUUGUAAAGCACACGUGGAAGUGAGUGGUGUAGAUACUUUUAAACUUACUUGGAUAAAAUUUCUUUCAACUCUCUCCACUUGCUACCAACAGCAAGGCCUCCGUGGAUCCAGAUCAGUAUUUGUAUCUGCGGUAUCAACACGUUACCUGAUAUUGUGCAAGUGUCUCUGAGAAAUGCUGUGCAAAUGCGUAUACUUAGGACUUGAAUGGGAAAAAACACUAAGCAACCCAAACACGUUUGUUUUUCCACUAGAAUAUUCUCUAAUUUUAUUUGUUCUUCUGAAAAUGAAUAAACUUCUGUUGUCCAUGGAAUGACUCAUCUGUUAAGCUUCAGAGCCAAAAAUGUCACUCAAAAAAUUUGCCUUUGCUGUUGAAUUAAAAUCUUUAACUUCCUUUGGCUUCUUCAUAACAAAACGCCAAUGUAAAGAGGGCAUCCUAUCCUGAUUCUUGCGUCUCUUUUGGGAUAUGAAAAAUGAAUCUUAGUCUGAAUUCUCGUAAAUCAGUUCUUUUUGAUGGUAGUUCCUUUUGUAGCAGAUAGAGACAAGCAGGCUUGGAUGCUCUGAACAGAUGUAUUUUACAGCUUCACAAGGAAACUAUUUUUUAUGAGUUUUAUGAUUGUAGUCCUAGGAGUCCUUGUCACGCAGAUCUGCACAACCAUUUCUUGUAGUCUAGUACACUAGCAUGGGAGAAACCUCAGAGCUAAGAGUGUUUUGCAGGUGUGCACUUCUUGCACAAACCCCAGCGAUCCUACCAUGUCUCCAGAUCCAUGAAAUAGUCUGGAGAAUAAAAUAGAGCUGCUAGGUCAAGACUGUGUAAUCAUUUGAGCAUAUGUUAUACAUUAACUUUGGGGAAUAUUGAAUAAACAGGGCAACAAUUAAGCAAAGGAUUAUCAACAUGUGUUCCAUCUUUGUUGUGAAAUGUAUGAAAUAACUAUUCAACAUAUUUGUUGUACAAUUUUCAAUUUGUAAAGCCAAGUAUGUAAUCUUGAUUUUAAACACUUUCUUCUAUACAGUGGGGCAUGGUUAAGCUAGAAGGCAAAAUUGAAAAAUGACUGGUAAAUAUUCUUUUCAUGUUUAAAAAGAGAUGGACAACUGAGACAUAAGGAGAAAAUACAUAAAGCGAGUUUGGAAUGUGAAAUAGAAAAGAGGUUCCCUACUUUAUUAAUAUUUUCCAUGUGUUUGAUUUCAGACAAGCUUUCCCUUUAUCUGCUCCGUCAGCAGGGAUGUCCUGACGUGGCGCUGCGUGUGCAGCAGCUCAGAGCUCCCGCUCAGGUCGCUGCUGAACUUCAAGAGAGGCGAUAGAAAUAUGACUUUCUAUAGGUCCUGAUUGUCCAAGAGUUGUUAGUUAGGUUAGUGGGAGUUUUUCUCAUUCACUUUGGUGGCUUUUGGAUGAGGUCAUUUGGAAAAAAAUUCACCAUGUAACUGAAAACGUGAACAGAACUGAGGUCUGACCUUGCAAAGCUUUGUUGCGGGUUGAUAAUAUCCAGAUUUCAUUGUAUUCAGAGAACUGGUAUGUACCUAAUUCAGUGAAGGCUCAGGAAUUCACUAGAAAUUGUCACAGUUUCUUUGAAAAAAGAUGACUCAGUUCAGAGAAUCCAUCUGUGGUCCUUACUCUGUCCAAAGGUUCAAGGAGUGUUUGUUGAGUCCGUGCCUGUUCUGUGGGUGAGCAUACAGGUGGGGACUUGGAAAGGAGCAACGUAACUGUGAGAUUCAGAGUGUUCUUGCUUUCCAUGGACAAUUACAAGUGCACAAAGAAGGGGGUUUAGAACCAUCUCAGAGACCAAAUUACUUCCUUCUUCAGCCCUUCCUCAAAUGUGGCUUUUGUUUUACUGUAUGUGUUCCUGAGCAAUUAAAAUUGUGAAUACUAAAUGAAACUUUUAUUCUACUAGGAAUUAACAGUUCUUCUAAAAAAUAAAAAUACUGUAUAUAUUCCUUGUUCAAAAACCCUCCAAACACUGAUCUAACUCUUGGAGAAAUGAACUAUAAAAGAGUUCUAGUAAACACAGCCUCUUUCCCAUCUACUUUGGGAGACUGAUUUCUUCUGAGUGUUUUUCAUUGUGUUGGAAGAGUUACGUAUUAAGAUACUUUUCAUUUAUGGUUUGUUCAUUUUGAGCCAAUUCCAGUAUCAACUGAUACGAAAGGGAAGAUAACAUUAACUUCAGAGGGAGUCAGAUGUGAAUCUAAACAUUUAUAUUCGUAGUUUCCAUCUGUGUACUCAAAAAUUGCGUAUGCAUACUCUCAGGAGUAGAACGUGCACUUUUGCUUUCUGGAAUAUGUAAGCACAAAGUUCUCUUUUCUUAAUGUACUUUCUACGAUAUUGUGUGGAUUUUAGAAAUGAAAACCUACAUACACUGAAAAGGUAGAUAUACAGGUUCUAGUUCCUGUAAAAUGUGUGGAUUUUACCUGAUUAACUUUAUAAAUGUUUUAGCUUCAUCUGAUGAGUUCGUUCCCAAGGUGAGGUUUGGGCUGGUCUACAAGUGGGGCCAGAAGCUGUGCCCACAGUUCUCAAUGGCAGUGUGGGGGGAGUUCACCUGUCCAGAAGCUGUGGCUGGCUGAAGAGUUUAGGAAGCCUGCUCGACUACAGAAGAUGGUUUCAGCUCUGGCAAGUCUUUUUGGCUUAGUGGUGGUUGGCAUUUAAGCAUGGCCAAGGGCACUUAAAGCACGAGUGUUUUUUCCCAGACUAGAAAAUCCAGGCUCCCUCAGCUAAGGCCCUAAGUGCAGGUUACCGGUUUAGGGGACACCUGGCUCGCUGCUGGGGGUGUCCCUUUGUCUGCUGCAGCCCCAGGAGCACUGAAGUUUAAGACACGCGUGUGCGUUACAGCUGCUUAACAAUGCUUAACGUGCUGACUGGUAAGAUCCAUACUUGUAGCCUGUGGCAAACAGAAAUUAAAAGUCAUUUGCUGAAGCCUCUCUUAUCCUGAUAAAACCUCUUUCUGUGGGAUAUGACUUUAUCUUUUGUUUUAUAGUACAGGAUGAAAGCCUGCAGGGUUAGUCCCUGGAGCUCAAGCUGACUACCGAGACUCACCAAGCUCAGUCUUAGUCUGGAGUCACUGUGCAAAACUUUUAAGAGUGGGGAGGGAUGGGAGGUUGUAAAGAUAAACUGCUACAGAGGGUUCCUAAGGAUUAAGUGUUAUAGCGCAUUUUCUAACAUUGCAUUCCUUAAGAGCCCUCCGACUGACCAUUUCGAACUUCAUCUCCCAAUAUUUCAAAGGAGCACAGAGUUUACAACUCUCAUUGAUCUCACUGCUAGAAAAAUGAGGUUACUUAUUAAUAUGACUGUGAGUGCCUGUGCUGCACAUAAUUAUUUAAAUAUAGGCAUGCCUGUGUUUCUGGAGUAUUCUGUUAAUGUUUUUGGUAGUGCUGAGUGUUAUGAGGGGAAUUAAAAAGAUUUUGCCAGUUCAGCCAGCAUAAGUAAUUGGGACUGGCAUUUAUUAUUUUAUUAUAUAUAUGCUUGAUAUUCCUUCUUGUUAUGAUGAAUUACUAUUUCCAAAGCAAGCAAAGUCUUACCCACUGUGAAAGAAAAGCUUAUAAUGUGGAUGAACAUCAGAAGAAAGAGAUUCCCAGUGGUAGUAUAUAAAAUGAAAAGCAGAACUGGCUUCUAUUGUGCUCUGUUUCCAUUAGACAUCUUGGAAGUUUUAUAAGCAUGGCGCAUAAUAAAUAUCUAAGCCACAGUUUGAGGUCUUUUACAAAGGAGACAAUUCUUGCUAAUAUUUUACUGGAUCAGUUCUCCAUCUUAUACCCAGAUAGAUACAUAUCUCUGGCAUUUGUCCACAGUGUCAACUUGUGAAUGUGUUAAUUUGCUUUCUGUAUUGCACUGUAUAACUCUGAAUUUAAAUCCAAACCCACAUAUUUAAAAUUAAGUUUGAAAGAGCCAGAGAAACUGUGCAUUAAAUUAGCUCAUAUAUCUGCAAAGAGAAGAGAUCUGCUUCUGAAUAAUUUUCGUCAGAGGCCUAAAAAUACAGAGGGGCAACUCACUAUGGUUGGUUCUGCUGAAACGGAGCAGUGAUCCCUCUGGAGAGAGAUCACAAAGAGCUAACUGUUUGGAUCCAUUACACCACUGAGGUGGAUAUCAAGUAUAAAACCAGAAACAGACCUCAAAAAGUUGAGCCUGAUCUUUUUUUCUUUUUUUUCAAAUAUAAUAAUGUAAGUCUGGUGACAUCAUCAGAUCUGAAAAGUAAUAUAGACUUUUACUGUAUUUUUUUUUCAUUACUCCAAUAUAAAUGUAUCCCAGUGUAUGUAAAAUGCAUUAUAGCAAAUCCACAAGCAAUUUCCUUCAUUGUAACAAAUACUGUAUCUCAUUAGAGCAAAACAAGCCCCCAGUUAUGUUGCAGAACAUCUGCUUAAUAAUUUCAAGUUCCUCCAGCAAUGCUGCCAAAACAGCUAAAAAGUCAACAUCUAGUCCAUUACUUUGAUCAACUGAAGUAAUAAAAUUAUAAAUAAUGCACCAAAUGCAGAUCUGGUGAAAGGCAGCGCAGGGUGCUGGCCCUGGGCUGGGAUGGCUGGGGCUGAUGGCGAUGUGGCUUCAGGCACUUGGACCUGGUGUUCUGAGGAGGGUGGGAUGGAGAACCAGAUAUCUGGCUUGCAUAGAUUUCCUAUCUAAUAGUGAGAAAGUGAGAUAAUCUUUCUGUGUCCAGAUCCAGACUCUAAAUUUCAGUUUAAAAUGCCCUUUUUAUACCCCUGGGCUUUCUGCAAUGCAUAUGAGGUACUUUAACAUUACUGACACGAGCAAAAGCAUCUGUAAACAAACAACAGAUCAAAGUUUACGUAAAAUUUGGCAUGAGUUGUACUGAUGCUUAUUAUUUCUCUGCUUUGUGAUGAUAUCAGUGUUUGCUCUGUUUGUCUUAGGGAAACAGUCGCUGUGUGCUGUUGCAGCGUUAACAUUGUGGCUGCCAUAGGAGUAUUUGGUGGAACUCCACACCAGCGUGACCAGUCAGCACCAGAGGGGUACGGUUCAGUACAGAUCUCUUGGAGCUGACCCUGUUGGUCUGGUCUAGUUAAAACCAGAUCAGGGCUGUAGCAGUUCCUGACUGCGUAUAUUAUGGACAAAAAGCUUUUUGUUUCAUUGUUCUUCCACUGUGAGAAUUUAACUAUUGGCACUAAUUAAGGUGUCAAGAGUCAAAUUACUUUUAUUCUGAAAGACACACCAUAGUUCAUACAGACAAACGCAAAUCCUAAGGGUUUCAACUGUACAACCACACUACACAGAUGGCAGGAUUAAGUGAUGAUGCUGGACAUGUGAGGGAUGUGAUAGCCAUAAAUCUUUGAAUCUGAGGUUAAGAAGAAAUGCUAGAAUAAAAAUCGGCAUUUGGAACAUUACCUUUGAAUUCAUUGUGAUUUGUAACUUCUGUGGUGCCCCAGAAAGAGAAGGGAAAGAACAGUAAGAAACAAAAGUUUUUUGUUUUUUGUUUUUUGGUUUUUUUUUCCACCGUAUGCCCUUAGCAUAGGGGGGGUAGAAGGAUUUCUGGGUUUUGAAGGGAUCUUUCUCAGGAGGUUCUGUGUGCAGGUUGCCUCUUGGCAGGAGCAGCUUAGACAAAGAUGAAAAGAUAUUUCAAUACCAGAGUAACAGUACUUACUGUAUUCCUGAACUUCAGUCAUUUCCAGGAGAUUCCUGCACAUGGCCAGUCAUUUAAGAAAAAGAGCAGCCUGAUUUUGAAGUGGUUAAACUGGCAACAUAAAAAGAGAAAACAAGCCACUAGUUUCUUUUCACCUGUUGGAUGCAUUUUGGUUGAGGUUACUUUUUAACUACCAUCAUGUUCCAAAGCACUUGUACAAUAAUAUGGAGAGUAAUUUGGUGUGUCGUGUGGCAUAGUUUCUAUUUUCCUCAAAAGCAAUUUACACUGGCAUUGUAGGGUCAGCUCCACCAAUUCCCUUGCAAUAUUUCCUGGGGUUUUUUCCCCCAAAUUUUCCUCCUCUAAAUGCUGCAUUUGUAACACAUGCUUUGCUUAGUUAGGUGCCCAGAAGGAAAUGAUGCUGUUUGGUUGAUGCAGCGCUCUGCACCGGUUUAGCAAGAAAAGUGUUUGAACUGAGUUGCAUCAGAAAUUCAAGUUUAGGCUUCUCACUGGAGUAAACAUGUUACUGUUUAUUCUCGGGUGCUCUAUUCUUUAUGAUUUGGUUAAUAAUGUUACUGUUAUGGUUAAUAGUGUAAUGUAUCAUUCAGUCUGGGUAAUCUGCAUUGAUUAAAAAUAUUGCAUAAAGAAGAAAAAUUGCUUUUGGCCCUUUUUUAAUACACACUGUUCUGUGAGGGCAGCUCUGGCUCAUCCAGUACUAACAUGAAUUCUGUAUCCUUACCAGUGCCAGCCCAGUCACAGCAAUGACUGACGUUCUCAAGGACAACACGUUUGUAGGUUUCCGUAUGAAAUAAUAGGAAUGGUGGGUUAGUGUUGAAGACCUGCAAAAUACAAUUCAGCAUAAAUGGAGUGGAAAAAUCAGGAACUUUACCAUGCCUGGAAGUUUAAAAUCCCAAGCUGAUAAACUAAAAUUCAGUUGUAGCAGCUUUUAGUAAUCAAAAGCAUAACAAAAAUAUGGUGGAAAACUUUAGAAGUAUUUUCAAAUUCAAAGUCAGGCUAGCUGUCUGACUUUACAAGCCCUAUGAGUACUGCCCAAAGCAUGCAGACUCUUGCAGACAAAACUUUUUGUACAAAUAAGCUUUUGCUUUUAUUCUUACAUGUUGAUAUUCAUUCUCAUGAAGUGUACCUCUAUCUGUUUAUAUGAGUUUAAUUUUCAUGGCAUAAAUGUUUACAAAGAGACAAAAAUAAACAGUUACCAGUAGUCAGCACUGAAAUAUGUUUUUUAGUUCACUGAACUGUGCACAAACAAAUUUUGAAACUAUGUGGCCAGGCCUAAUAACAGUUAGUCUUAUCUUAUUUAUACACUGGUAAAUCCACCCCCACAAUUUAAUUGAGGAACUGUGUGUGGGCAGGCUUGUGUGGUGUCAGUAUAUGAAGGAUGUGCUGGAUGUAUGUACAGCUCAUAUCGUAUACCCUAAAUGUUAAUCAGUUUACGAUGUAUGAAACUGUGCUGCAAUAUGUAUUGAUAUUUAUUGCAGCAUUUAAAAUAUUGAAAUAUUUCAGUAAAUUAUUGCAAUGUUGCAAUAACUUCACUAAAUAUUUCAGUAAGUGUUUAUUGCAUAAUUGGUUACUGAAAUAUUUAUGUCAUUCACACGUUAGCUGAUGUUUCGUUGACCAAAGCACCUGUUUCCAUUGGGUGUUGAUCACAGUUGCUGCUGGCUGCUGAAUCUGGAAGGCACAGUGAGGGCAGGACAUGUUCCAUACUGGCAGUACUCUAAUCCAGUUAACAUGGGCAUCAGUUGCAAUGAAAAUAUGAUGACCUGAGGAUUUGCCUAUAUUGGCAACUGGCAUAUGCACCUACACCAUGGACAGCUUAAAAUCUAUAUACAUUUGUCUCCACAGCUGUUUCUAAUCGUAUUAGCAAGACUGAUCUGCAAGUACAUGCCAGAGGCUCUACCUCUGCUUUCUGCUCCAGCCAUCCUCCACAGACCAUGCAGGGCAGGGGCCUGAAUUACAGACAGAGAUUUGAAAGCAGGUGUUGAGUUUUCAAAGAAGAAAAGGCUGUGUUGUUAAGAACAAAUCUGAGUUUCAAAAGGAUUUUUCUACAGCGCCAGGGUACUGGAUCUCUUAAGAUAAGAUUCAAGUAGUUGUGAAAAUACAGGUUUCAUAGACAUGUCCUGCCAUUAGCGAAGUGCCACUUCAUUGAUGUCCCUGUUCUGCUGAUUAUUCUUUUGUGUUUUUCUACAAAUUCCAACAACAAAAGCUACCAGCUUUCUUCUGGGAAAAAAUCUCCAGGCUUAUUGCUUCUGAGAUCGUUGCCUCUUGUCAGUUUUUUGAGAUAAAGUUUGGAUAAGGACAAAUAAUUUACACGCUGUAACCUAAAAGACAUUUUUUCCUAGGAUUAUUCAUGGUAAUCUUUUUUCUUUUUCCUGGAAGGCCUGUGUCCCAAGAGGCCCCUGCACUUACGUCUGACAGCGUGAGACCUCAGUAAAAGCACGCAUUGUAUUCCUGUACCUCACUUGCCUUUAGCCCCAGUUCAUGUAACACAUCUUGCAUGUUUAAUCAUUUUGUAACAUAUAAAACUGUACUGCCAUAAUAUUAAUUUUCAAAUAUUAGACAUCUCAUUCCAGGGCCAGUGCAAACAGGCAGGCACCGGAGGGCCAGGUCAGCAACAUAUUUGGGCACAUAAAAAGUAGUUAGAUAAUAGAAAUGUUAGUAUUAUUUCUAAGAGUAAAAUAUCUUUAUCAUUUAAGAUGCAAAACUUUGGGGUCUUCAACGUUAUCCAGGUAUAUUAUCUGCAUACAAUAUCUGAGAAAAUCUUUUUAAACUAUGAGUUCACCUGAAUUUCUAUUUCAUGAGGAACAGAAAUCAGGCAUACGUAUCUAACAAGAACAUCUGUAAACUGUAUCUGAUAUGUAAAAUAUAAAUAUAUAUAUUUUAAAAUAAUGUUAUUUAAAUCUAUUUGAAAGUCUCUAUAGCACAAAGAAUCCAAUUCUAUUGAAAUUUUAGUAUGGUUUGGAGAUGGCUUAAUUCUUAAUUUUUAAAAUUUUUAAUCCAAACUGUGAUGGGAAUUUCCUGUGUUCUUAUAUCUGUUUUAAAAAGUCCAAGAAAUGUAUUUAAUGUAUCUAAUGUAGAGCUGUGUUCCGUAUCUUAACACAGAAUGCUUCAAUUUCUGCACAAAGCAAUACUAUAAUGACAUUGGCUUUGUCUGCAUGCAAUGGGAGUGUGAAAGGUUGUAGAGAAAAUGUUAAGGAGGCAAUAUUUACUGUGUAUGCCAUUUGGCAGUUGUUCUUUAGGUUAGCUGUGGUCUGAUCCCACGUACUUAAUGCAAUUUAUCAGAAGGAGAGUGUCUUCCAGCUUAAUUUCAUUUGAAAGGAAUCCAGUUUGCAUGCUUAGAGAUUGCUUGGCAACAUGAACUAACAAUGGCUAGUACGGAUUUUGGAGGGAGUUUUGAAUCAAAAGGGAAUUCCUUAUCCAAACUAAUAUUAUAAUGUAGAUACAUCUAUUGUUUUUAUUAGCAUUUGAAAAUGGAUGUGGUGUCAUUGAGAAAUCCCAGUUUCAUUAGGUCAGUCUCAAGAAGGGUUUUCCGGAGGAGCCACAGCUCCCUUUGCUGAGCCGCGGGGUCUCGUCUCGUGUUCUCACCAGCGCCCCGAGAACGGGCUGCUCUUCCUGGUGGAAAACAGCAGCUCCCCUCUGGGAAUGGGAAGGAACGUGAAGAAGCUGUUGGGAACACAUCCAGGAUGCCCUUUGCGUUUGGUCCCUGGCCGAAGGCGACCAGCCCCAGGGUGAGUGGCUCUGGUGGCUGAUAGCCGGCGGUGAAGGGCCAGGGCUCCCUGACAGGCGGCUGCUCUCGGGGAACGGGGAGGCAACAACAGCCGCUUGCAGGGAACGGUGUUAAAACGCAGACUUGUGCGUGGGCACAGCUUCCCGUUUCGUGCUGUCUGCUCCACAGGGACAGAGAGGUAAGUGCAAUCAGAGUCUGUCGGCAGCUGGUGCUGGAGGAGCUCAGAGCUAUGCUGAGGUGAUCAGAAGUUUUAAUCUGUAACUUCUCUGCAUUUGAAUUUGACAUAUUCUUCAAUUUUAUAAUAAUAUAUUUUCAAAUAGAUUUAAUCGAUGUGUAGGGAACAAUUGUGGGUUAUGUGAAAGCUUGACCCCUUGUGUUUGUAAUGCUUCCUUAUGGUCUAUACCCCAGGAAAGCCCAAAAGGAUACCCGGCUUGUGUGAAAGGAAGGAGGACUGAAUUAUAUAUGUAUGGAAGAUGAGUUCCUUAAUAGAAUUGUAGGUUGGCAUCUGAUUUGGUUUUUACAGGUGAAAGUCAGUUGCAACUCCUAAAUUCAAUGGAUUUACCUACUGUAAAGAAAGAGUUGUCAGAUCCAAAUCACAAGCUAUUCCUGAAAAAUCACAAGAACUGAGAAGAUGCUCAUUUUUGUUACUGACAGAUGCACUGAUGUUGUAUUUCUGUCUUCAUAAAGGAACGAUGUUCUCUCUUAAGUGUGUAAUGAGGAGCCCAGUCAGAUGACUGCAUACUUCUUUGUCCAAAAGGUCAAAGGAUAUAAGACAGGAUCUGAGACGAUGAUUUGUUUAAUUUGGCCCAAGGAUACAAAUACACUUUAGUUUUUUUUCCCUGUAGAACUGUAAUUAUUUGGAAAAAUAUGAUGUUGAAGACAGCCCAUAAGUUUUGGUUCUGGAUAGAGAAAUCAGACUUAAUGCAUACAAGUCCUCAUAUUGUUCUAGAGACAAACCGACACUUAGCGAUAUAAAAAGUAGCGCGCAUGAUAGCACUGUUACAAGACAAGCUGAAUGUGUAAAUUGAAUAAAAUUAGAAUCUGUGUCAAUAAUCUGAGGUGAGCAGCUGAAGUACACUGGGUAGAAUGUUGGAGGACCGGGCGGGAGCCCGUGUGCGGGAUUGUGCAGACACAGCCCGUGCUGCCGAGCGCUCUGCUCAUCAGCCACACUGCACUGCAAACCUUGGAACUGUUUGGCUCACAUGAGCUCACCAGUUGGAGGGCUGCCGUUCUUCGUGUAAGGGUGGAGAAGGCAUGCAAAGUAUUUAGGGUAUGUGUCAAUGCAUGUCCUGUAGAUCGUGCUCUGUGUACUACAGCAAGGAAAAGCACAGAAUUGCUUUUCAGAACAAAAAAUAUGUUUAUUUCCUUUUUCAGGGUCAAUUUUUUUUCCUCAAGCCUCUUUUACUGCACCUUCUGUCAUGUGGAUAGUUGUUUUACAAUAUUCAUAGUCAGACUAAACCCUUGAAAACAUGACCACUGCACUGAAAUUACAAAGCCUCAAAGAUCGCAUUAUGGGGAGGAAUUUUUGUUCACCUACUAAUUUUUUGGUAUUUUAAUGAGUUACUUUUAAAAACAUUGUCUCUGCACGUUUGAAAAUCAAAAAUCCAUUUUUGAAAUGGACCUAGGCACUGUCCUGUAUUUAUCUGUGGCUUCAAGAAAAGUACCAAAUAUUGUGACAUUUAGGAUAAGGCCCAAAGAGCUGGGAAAGCACUGCUGGCUGCUCUUGGUACAGAAAGUCAUACUGAUAAUAAAAUCUGUAGGAGUUAGAACAAAUGUGUUACCCAGCAGAGAUGUUUCUGACUUACUGUCUGGAUGAACUGAGGCUGUAGUCCUGUCCAUCAAUCUGAUGUCUGGUUUAAGAAACUUCAGAGUGAGUUUUAUUGCCUAAUUUUGGGCACUUAACCUAAAAAAGGGAGUUUUGACUGUCUGUAUUACUGUUUCAUAUUCUGUGGUACGUUGCGUGGAACGAUCACUAAUUACUUAGAUGCUGUUGUAUGUAUGUCUUUGUAAGUACAGCACACAUGAAGUUGUUUGGCAAGAUCUCAAGACAAGGUGGUGUUUUUACCAGUAACACAGAGUACGCUUUCCCUACACAGAAGGGGAAAUCUGAAAGAAAACAUAAGCUAAAUGGAACUGGGGUCUUUGGAUAGAAAUAAAGGCUGUUACCUGCAGUUGUAAGUCACAGAACAGUUGAGGUCAUAAGGGACCUCUGGAGAUGGUCUGGUGGGAUCAGCUGCAACAGGCUGCCCCACACCUUGUCCAGUCAGGCUCUGAAAUAACAGAUUCAAGAAAAAACAGGCCCAUUUGCAUAUCCCAGAAUAACAAUAAUUUUUAAAGCUUCUUUUAAAGAAGAGAAAUGAGUGAUGUUUUAUGGGUGGUACUUCAAGCAGAGUGCUUGUAAAGUAGCUCUUGCACUCUAACAACAAUUACUUGUUAAAGACAUUUUCAUAAGGAACUUUGUUAGUGGUCCAUGCCUUAGUAGCAAGUAUGUAUUACUACUAAACACCUUAAUAACUCCUUUUGGCAAAUACGUAUUAUUUUAAAAUCAUUACCCAGCCAUUUAGAGGUCCAGUGGGGUUCCAAACUGCACAUGCAGCCUUGAAUCCAGUAGCAAAGCUUUCAUUCAUCCUUGUAAAGAGCUAUUCCUAAAGCUUUCUUACAUCAAAAAGGGUGCUACAGGAGCAGUCAGUUUUCAGACACACAUCAGGUAGGGUCUUUCAGUAAUAACAGACUAAUUAGGUUAGAAUCUAACCUAACUGUGGUGAAUCUUUAACCAGGGGAUGUUUCAAUUACUUGCCACCUGCAGGGGAGGGCUGAGGGAGGGUUGCUGAGUUGAGCACAGAGUUCCUCAUCUUUCUCUUGGCCCAAACCUAAACAAGCUGUGCUGGCGAAAGACCAUCCCAAACAAAUCACACAGGUAUGAAAAGUUCUGAAAGGAGAAUGUCUCCCAAAAGACUUGAAAACAAUUAUGAAUGAUUUGCUAGAAAACAAAGACACAAAAUUUAGUUACUUUUUGAGUCAGCUGGAACAGGUAAUGUUCUCUUAGGCCCUGUGCAGCUAGAUAGUGUUUGCCCAAUGUUACACUUCUUAUUUUUUACAGUAAUAAAAGAAGGAUCUUCUGUUUCAUGUAUAAACUCACUUAGGAUCCAACUGCUUCCAUCCUAGUUGAUUAUAAAGCUCAUAAUGAAUGCAAUAGCAUCACAAUAGGGCCCCUAAAAAAUGUAAGCAUACUAAGAAAAACCUUUACUAUUCAGACUGGAGUUGUGCCUGUUAUCAUGCUGCUGGAACUAAAACCCAUCAAGACAAAGCACCAAAGAUGACAAAGCUUAAUUCACAUGAUAGAUAAUAGCAAGAUAACAAUUUUCAUUAUUCUUUCUCCAGAGACUUCUUAGCUUAUCUGUCACAAUAAUAUUUGGAAGAGUGUUUCACAUACUUGUAAAAAGCAUCGUUUGCCUUUGACUAGAAUGAAAUUUGUCAUUACAAAUGCCUUUGAACAAACCCUUGUCCCAAUUCAGGGAACUAUUUAAGGAAAUAUUUAAUUAUAAGUAUACAUUUUAAUAGCAAUGUGUACAAAACAAUCUGAGCAUGUGAUUCUACGCUAUCCAGAAUUGCAAUCAACCUCACUAUAUGUUAAAAAUCCAAACAUAGGUGAAGCCCAAGUUGCAGACAUAUGCAAAUAAUUUGAAUCCAUUUUACUUCACUAGAAGUUAGAAGGCCUAUCUGCACAUACUGUGCAGUAGAAAUUCUUUGCUCUGAGAGUCCUACAGAGAGAGGCACAUUGUUCACACCAGAUAUCUUGGUUAUUUUGCCUGAAUAAGCCCAGUGCUCUGGUAGGUGCUCCCUGGCACGCUUGUUGUGCCAGGCACUCCUGGGUAGAUGGGAAGGGGUGGAGCACGAUGAUGUCCUUGCUGUGGUGUCAGCUGAGGUACGUUCGCUUUCUCUGACUCUUCCAGCCCUGCUGCACUAAGUGCCAUAGAUGCCAUUUGCAAGAAAACCAUGCUCCAGAAAAAGAGAAGACUCCUGAGAUUGUUUUUAACAUCCUCAUUUUUAGGGCAUUGAAACUUUUUAAGCGAAAAGGGCAUUUUAUAGAAAAUUCCUGCCUCAUCACUGGGUUGCUUAUUACUUUCCAUGUUGAGUUGAUUAUUUUACUAGCAGCUUAUAGAGGGGAGUUAAUAAUUUCCUGUUAGUAUUAAGGCUGAAAUCUGCUAUUCAGCUUGUGCAUCUACAAUGUGGUUUAUAUCAGCUGUUUAAUAAAAUUAGAAGGCUUUUAAUGACAGCAGUGAUGUAUCACAUAAUUUAAGUAUUUCUGCACAAAUGAAGGUUUAGGCCACUUACCAUUAGAAGUGAUCAAAUCAGAUAUUUUUUACUCCUUUUUUCUUUUUCAAAUGAGUUCUUUUGCAAAGAGCACUGGUAACUGUUUCAAGCAUUUUGGAACAAAUUGUGUUUUAUCAGCAAGCAAGACCUGGAGGUUUUGUGUCAAAAAGUUUACAUGUUUCAUGAUUAGUGCUUUUUAAGCAAGGUAUCUAGCACUUCUGGUUUCUGCGGCUGGUGGAGACUCUUGGCCCUUCUCCCCAGCCCAGGAGGAGUUGACACCACGCCCAGAGUCUGAAUCAGCCCCUCUUCUGCAGAGCUUAAUUUAUUACUUGGACUUAAGACUCGCUCUGUGACCUACCAGAGGAAUCAAGAGGCUCCCUGUGGAUUCACUCCUCCUUAGGUAGGAAGAAUAAUUUGGUUCCCUCUCAGUCAUAUAUCGAUAAGUGAUUCCUCUGCCUUUUUCUUAGAUGGGCAACACAUGCUACUGCCAUUAGGUGCUGGCUUGUAGAACUAUGAAAUUUGUAUGGAAUAGUCCGUUGUUGUCAUAUAUCCUACACUGAAAUUCAUGAAAAAAGGGAAUUAAAUGUGUUCCUUGACCUUGCAAUUGGAUGUUUCAGGCUAGUAGGUCAGUUUCUGGUAAGGCCUCAAAGAAAAACCAAAAAAAAAUGCUUAAAGAGCCAAGCAUGGAGCAGGUGAGGGACCACAGAAAGCUGGUAGUUUUUUUCGAAGACACCUUAUAUGCAGAAAGCUUAUGUAUAUCAAAUACAUACAUUUGUGUUUUGCUAAACAGUUGCCUUGACUUCAUUAGUCUGUGCAAUAGAGGGAUGCAUAUCAGUUCACCUCAUCAUGCUACCGUGCCGUACGGUGUAGGUGGACACCUGGAUUGCAUCCAGCCAGCCUUGGCACUCGUGUCCGUCACCACACACCUGCAUGGCUGCGUGCCCUGUCCCUGCAGGCCAGAGAGGUGUUAGGGGAAGGAAACACUCCGUUUGUGUCCCACUGGCGACCUGAUGUAGUCCUUGUGGGAGAAGGCUUCCUGUAGAUGUUGUAUGAGCUGCAUCAAGCUCUGUAUUUCAUGAUGGUUUAUCCCUUGGCAAUGCAUUCUGUCUUCAGGUGGCCUUGGGAACUGGAGCUCGAUAGCAUAGUCAGCCAUGCACCUGUGAUUCCUGAAAGGAGUUUUGUGAAGGGCCACUAGAUAUCUCCAACAUACAUAUGAAUAAUUCCUUUGUCUCUUGUUAUCAAGACAGGGAAAGUCUUGUCUCUUCUUCUAAAUGCAAGAGAAUUGUGGGCUGUCAGUAUCUUGAAGGAUGGAGUGAUAUUUUUUUGCUUCCUGUGAAUAACAAAAAGAAAAAAGUAAUGCUGUAUGUGUCCUGUUGUCCUGUUGUAUCUUUUUAACCCUUCAGUUUAUUAAUAUGUUGGUGUGGUUACAAUUAUCAGGAAUUCUGAUGCUAUCUAGAUGGUUACACAAAUCUAAGUUAUUGAGCAAGUGGAAUCUCUACUGAAUAUGAUCUUGCUUUAGAUUCAGAGAGUGAAUAGCUUGCCUUUAAUACUUCUAAUAAAUCACAAGUUGAAAUGACUAAUUUACCUCAUAGAAAGACGUGAAUCGCUCAUUGCAGCUUCUUCCAAGAGUUGCCUCACUUGUUCUCUAUUUGGAAGUGUUUCCAGUGGGCUGGAAAUGCUUUCUGAAUUGCUAGAUUACCCAUGCACACUUCUGCUCUGAAGGCCAGAUCGGGAUUUAUUUAAUUCUAAGACUGCAGUAUUUUUUCUGCUACGUAGGUGUCUGUCUGCAAGGUUUGCACUACCUUUAGUUUAGUGUUGUGGUGCUGCAUGUUUCCAUGUGCAUUCAUGUAUUUUCUUUGAAGGAAACAAUUCAAAUAAAGGAGUAAAAACUUAUGUCAGACAAAUGACCUACAUACAAGCAAUGAUGGGCUCACAGCCUAAGAAUGUAAGCUGCAAGAAGUAACCAUUUUGCGGAAUGCCUAUCUUGUCAGUAAGUGCAUAUGAAAUCUUUUAAUAUUGGUAUCCUUUUAAGGGCCAUAAGGGUAAUUUUUAAGCACAGGUUAGAGCCCCUGUUCUUUCUGGUGUAGAUGCUGGUUGCUAAUCCCAGCUGAGCCUUCCACAAUCAUGGAAUCAUUUAGGUUGGAAUAGACUUUUAAGGUCAUUGAGUCCAAGUCAAACUAGUCCACGAAUACAGAGACCAACUAAAUUCACUGUGAGGAAAAAAACCCAUGUUUUUCAAAAGGAAAUGACCAGUAGAGAAAAGCAGUUCAUUCUCAGACUUCCAAAGGCUCUUGUAAAGGGGCAGCUCUUAAAGAAGAGUAACUAAAUACUCAAAGAUGUAGUUUAAUUAUGCAGUAAUUCUUAUUAUUGAGAAAUACAAUAGAAGAAAAAAAAAGGUCACUGAGUCACAUAUUGUUUUCAAGCUCUAGAAAAGCAAUGAAGCAAUGUAAAACAGAAGAAUGGGGGAGAGAUUGAGCAAGCUUUCAGGGAGGAAGAUUUAAUUUUGCCAUGUGAUUCAGCAUAAGGAAUGGCAGGAACGUGAGGGAGGGAAGUUGGAG